RNAcentral lists this ribosomal RNA (253 nucleotides) under uncultured bacterium. RNAcentral's name for it is "partial 16S ribosomal RNA". It matches the Rfam family "Bacterial small subunit ribosomal RNA", at positions 524 to 776 of the family's 1533-position model. The record is from RNAcentral.
UACGUAGGGUGCAAGCGUUAAUCGGAAUUACUGGGCGUAAAGCGUGCGCAGGCGGUUAUGUAAGACCGUUGUGAAAUCCCCAGGCUCAACCUGGGAACUGCGUCUGAUACUGGAUGGCUUGAAUCCGGGAGAGGGAUGCAGAAUUCCAGGUGUAGCGGUGAAAUGCGUAGAUAUCUGGAGGAAUACCGGUGGCGAAGGCGGCAUCCUGGACCGGCAUUGACGCUGAGGAGCGAAAGCCAGGGGAGCAAACGGG